RNAcentral lists this ribosomal RNA (253 nucleotides) under uncultured bacterium. RNAcentral describes it as "partial 16S ribosomal RNA". It matches the Rfam family "Bacterial small subunit ribosomal RNA", at positions 524 to 776 of the family's 1533-position model. The record is from RNAcentral.
UACGGAGGAUCCAAGCGUUAUCCGGAUUUAUUGGGUUUAAAGGGUGCGUAGGCGGCCUGUUAAGUCAGGGGUGAAAGACGGUAGCUCAACUAUCGCAGUGCCCUUGAUACUGAUGGGCUUGAAUGGACUAGAGGUAGGCGGAAUGAGACAAGUAGCGGUGAAAUGCAUAGAUAUGUCUCAGAACACCGAUUGCGAAGGCAGCUUACUAUGGUGUCAUUGACGCUGAGGCACGAAAGCGUGGGGAUCAAACAGG